CCUACGGGAGGCAGCAGUGAGGAAUAUUGGUCAAUGGGCGCGAGCCUGAACCAGCCAAGUCGCGUGAGGGAAGACGGUCCUAUGGAUUGUAAACCUCUUUUGUCGGGGAGCAAAAGACGCCACGCGUGGCGUUCCGCGAGUACCCGAAGAAAAAGCAUCGGCUAACUCCGUGCCAGCAGCCGCGGUAAUACGGAGGAUGCGAGCGUUAUCCGGAUUUAUUGGGUUUAAAGGGUGCGAAGGCGGAAGAUCAAGUCAGCGGUAAAAUUGAGAGGCUCAACCUCUUCGAGCCGUUGAACCUGGUUGUCUUGAGUGAGUGAGAAGUAGGCGGAAUGCGUGGUGUAGCGGUGAAAUGCAUAGAUAUCACGCAGAACUCCGAUUGCGAAGGCAGCAUACCGGCGCUCAACUGACGCUCAUGCACGAAAGUGUGGGUAUCGAACAGGAUUAGAUACCCGGGUAGUC
This 459-nucleotide ribosomal RNA is filed under the name uncultured bacterium. Its description in RNAcentral is "partial 16S ribosomal RNA". It matches the Rfam family "Bacterial small subunit ribosomal RNA", at positions 338 to 795 of the family's 1533-position model. The record is from RNAcentral.